Molecule: ribosomal RNA, 915 nt
Filed under: uncultured bacterium
Lineage: Bacteria
Description: bacterial SSU rRNA
Rfam family: Bacterial small subunit ribosomal RNA
Source: RNAcentral
AGAGUUUGAUCAUGGCUCAGGACGAACGCUGGCGGCGUGCUUAAUACAUGCAAGUCGAGCGAGGUUACUGUUUUGGAUCCCUUCGGGGUGAAGAAGCUUUAACCUAGCGGCGGACGGGUGAGUAACGCGUGGGUAACCUACCCCAAAGUCCGGGAUAACAGCGGGAAACCGCUGCUAAUACCGGAUGCCUUUACCUUGGGGCAUCUUGAGGUAAAGAAAGGUAACGCUUUGGGAUGGGCCCGCGUCCCAUUAGCUAGUUGGUGAGGUAACGGCUCACCAAGGCGACGAUGGGUAGCCGGCCUGAGAGGGUGGACGGCCACACUGGGACUGAGACACGGCUCAGACUCCUACGGGAGGCAGCAGUAGGGAAUAUUGCGCAAUGGACGGAAGUCUGACGCAGCGACGCCGCGUGAGCGAUGAAGGUCUUCGGAUCGUAAAGCUCUGUCCUUGGGGAAGAAGGCGAAAGCUUGACGGACCCAAGAAGAAAGCCCCGGCUAACUACGUGCCAGCAGCCGCGGUAAUACGUAGGGGGCGAGCGUUGUCCGGAAUUACUGGGCGUAAAGGGUGCGUAGGCGGCCCUUUAAGUCGGAUGUGAAAGCCCGCGGCUUAACCGCGGAAUGGCAUUCGAAACUGGAGGGCUUGAGUGUCGGAGAGGGUAGUGGAAUUCCCAGUGUAGCGGUGAAAUGCGUAGAUAUUGGGAGGAACACCAGUGGCGAAGGCGACUACCUGGACGAUAACUGACGCUGAGGCACGAAAGCUAGGGGAGCAAACAGGAUUAGAUACCCUGGUAGUCCUAGCCGUAAACGAUGGGUACUAGGUGUGGGUGGUUUCGAUACCAUCCGUGCCGUAGUUAACGCAUUAAGUACCCCGCCUGGGGAGUACGUGCGCAAGCAUGAAACUUAAAGGAAUUGACGG